CGAUACGCGCUACACCCGCUGCAUAUCGGAUCUUCUUCGCAGGAUAACCUACCGAGCCACUUAGCGCGGUUCGGGCCAUACCACUCGAUGCCAGAGCUCUUGGGGGCAGCCGGCUGUAAAGAUGUUGCGAACGGGACAAACGUCUCUGGUUAGCCAAAGGACACUGCAAAUACGUAUGUGCGUCUAUGUAAAGUACGCUGAUAAAAUAAAUGGUGUCGAAAUAAAACGGACCUUAGCAGCGGCCUUCUUGCCGGUCGCCUUGCAUGCGACCUGCAGAGCCUUGCGCGAGGUGGCGAGAGCGAAAGCCAUNUUAGAUGUUCGUAAGGUGAUCAGACUCUGCUGCACAAAGGAGAGAACUGAUACCGGAAACACAGGCAACCAGCGCUUUUGUUUUGCAAGCAAAUCUUGAUGCCGUACGCACGCCGUAUCCCUGUCCUGUCCGUGGGACAGGGCGCUUACCUAACAGAGAUCGCAGGAUACAGACAUGGCACACCUGCAACACAUGCGCUUAACAGCUAUCUGCACUUGCACAGAUUGGCAUGAACGAUUUGCUACACCUGCUUGCAAGUUUCAUACAAGUUUCUGAUGCAGGGAUAACUCAGUGGCGACUGUAUAAAUGCUGUGACGUGCACGCUGAACAUGGAUUUUGAUACGCACUGCAAUGCAUUCUUUAGGCGCCAAAAGUGGUCUCUCCAUGUUUGACCCUAGCUGUUCGGCCUUUACUCAUUACCAGUACCGUAGGACGGGAGGACAGUAGCUGUUGUCCUUGCUAGGAAGCAAGCUGAUAUAAUGGGUCACGCUGCUUAGGACGGCAAAGGGCAUUCCAUCCCGGACAGGGCCGGUGAACACAAGGUCCAAGCUCUGCUGGACCGCAAAAGGGCGACAGCGCCGAACCGGAGGCCGUUUAGGACCGAAGGAAAGCAACAAGCACGUGCGUAGCAACCUGUCGUCCGAUCAAGGGAGGACGGUCGGCCUCGACCAAACGCAUGAGCUCUUCGCAACUUACAAUCGGCCACGGGCUUCCAAACGUCGGAGCCUAAGGCUGGCACCUGGGAAAAGCUCCUACUUUGCCCAUGGCUUGCCUUUGACCUCUGAAGUACUGAACGGAACGCCAGCACGCCCUCUNNNNNNNNNNNNNNNNNNNNNNNNNNNNNNNNNNNNNNNNNNNNNNNNNNGCAGCUCGGGGGUCAGGCAGCCCAGAGCGCCAAGCAUGGCCCAGCGCGCAUGGAUCAGCUCCAGCUCGCGGUAGCGCUUGAACGUCUCCGGGUCAGCGGACAGGCCGGCAGUGUCCCAGCCGUAGUCACCGGGGAACUCGCCAGUCAGGUAGGCAGGGGUGGCAUUCUCGCUGUAGGGGCCUGUCCGAUGUGGGCACAGAAGGGGAAAGCGGACAUACGGCGGCAGCGGGCUACUGAACGGCAGGUCGCGAAAGGGGGAAAGACGCAACCUGUGCCCUUCAUCGCAGCAUGCAUCGCGCGAUGUCAGCAAAGGACCGAGAGAGCAGCCUGCGCACAGAAACCUGACGCUGCGGCAUGUUGCGCCGAAAGGAGGACCAUGCACGAGACCGACCGAUUACUCCGGCCCUCCGAUACGCGCUACACCCGCUGCAUAUCGGAUCUUCUUCGCAGGAUAACCUACCGAGCCACUUAGCGCGGUUCGGGCCAUACCACUCGAUGCCAGAGCUCUUGGGGGCAGCCGGCUGUAAAGAUGUUGCGAACGGAACAAACGUCUCUGGUUAGCCAAAGGACACUGCAAAUACGUAUGUGCGUCUAUGUAAAGUACGCUGAUAAAAUAAAUGGUGUCGAAAUAAAACGGACCUUAGCAGCGGCCUUCUUGCCGGUCGCCUUGCAUGCGACCUGCAGAGCCUUGCGCGAGGUGGCGAGAGCGAAAGCCAUUUUAGAUGUUCGUAAGGUGAUCAGACUCUGCUGCACAAAGGAGAGAACUGAUACCGG
This 1949-nucleotide long non-coding RNA is filed under the name Volvox carteri. RNAcentral's name for it is "long non-coding RNA (VCAR_LNC003532)". The record is from RNAcentral. Lineage: Eukaryota; Viridiplantae; Chlorophyta; Chlorophyceae; Chlamydomonadales; Volvocaceae.